RNAcentral lists this long non-coding RNA (3311 nucleotides) under Podarcis lilfordi (Lilford's wall lizard). The record is from RNAcentral. Lineage: Eukaryota; Metazoa; Chordata; Lepidosauria; Squamata; Lacertidae.
AGCUCCCAGGAUUCUCAAGUGGUAUAAGAGUGCUUUAAAUGUGUGAUGUGGCUGAGACCUCUGUGCUUAAGGAAAAUCAUUGCAACUAGAUCAGCUGAUAUCCACAGUCAUUCAAGCACAACAAAGCUCAGAAUGAGAUCAGGCUUGCAAAAGAGGCUAAGAACAACAACAACGGUUUCUUUAGCUAAGAGGAAGAACAAGCAAGUGGUAGGUCCUCUGCUUGGAGAAAAUGGAGAAAUGUUUUUGGGUGACAGAGAGAAGGUGGAACUACUCAACACCUACUUUGCUUCUGUCUUCACCCAAAAGGAAAGCAAUGCCUAACCGGGUGGUAACAGAAUAAAUGAUGGAAAGAGGGAGCUGCAGACCAAAAUAGGAAAAAGAGGUAGAAAGGGAACACCUAGCUACUUUAAAUGAAUUAAAAUCUCCAGGACCUGAUGAACUGUAUCCAAGGAUUUUAAAGGAGUUUGCAGAUGUAAUUUCAGAGCCUUUGUCUAAGAUCUUUGAAAAUUCUUUGAGAACAGGUGAGGUCCCUGCUGACUGGAGGUGGGCAAAUGUUGUCCCCAUCUUCAAAAAGGGGGAAAGGGAAGACCCAAGUAACUACUGACCAGUGAGCUUGACAUUGAUACCAGGAAAGGUCCUAGAACAGAUAAUUCAAUAUUACUAAGACCAGCAUGGGUUUCCAAAAAACAAGUCUUGCGUGGCGAGUUCCCGCCCCCCACCAGGAUAAAUAAAGACACGAGACACCAUAAUUUAAGGUUACAUGGGCAAAUUAGGCCACAACUUUAUUGAAUUCAGGAAUGAGAGGCAUUGGCUUAGGCAUUGGUCCUAUCGACUAUCCGGCUCCAGCCCAUUUGCUGGAGACACGGGAAGGGUUAACACCAUAGAGGGGGAGUCUCCUGCUGAGGCACGUCAACUAGGAGCUCCCCCGGUCACCGCUCUGGGGCGUGCCUUUGGCCCACACCUCCAUAGGCUUCGGACAGGGCCACGCCCCCCGGAGUCCUUUAUCGGACCACCCUUCAUUCUCUGGGGGGAGGUGAUGGCGUUCCUCCCCCCCCCCACAUCCUCUAAUCCCCUUCUUACCAAUGCCUAACCGCCAAUGCCGAGGAGUUGUGACGAGUUGCUACGAGGUAGGCGAAAAACCAAAUGGCUGUAAAUUGCCAAUUGGGGAAAAUUCCUACCAUGCCCCUUGCGGCGACAGACCGAAGUCCAUAGCAAAGUCAGAGACCUACCUAAAGCCUACCUAAAGGGAGGAAGGGUGGGAAAACGUGGGGGCUAGCCGGCGAAAAGAGGGCGAGCCCCCUCUGCGCCGGCCCUAAAUAGGGCAGGCCACGCCCCCCCAGCCAGCCGAUUGGCUGACUGAGGGGAAGACGCGCUGGGAUUCCCCUGUUCUCGCUGGGGCUGAACCAGCCCCCGCUCACAUGGGGGUGGGCGUGAAGCCCGCAACCCCACCUCCUGGGCAGGCCGGAAGUGGCUAUGUCAAAUGAAUCUCAUUUCUUUUUUUGAUGGAGUUACCAGCUGGGUGGAUCAGAGGAAUGCUGUGGACAUAGUGUACCUUGAUUUCAGUAAGGCUUUUGACGAAGUCCGCCAUGAUAUUCUUGUGAGGAAGCUGGUAAAAUGUGGGUUGAAAGAGGUAACGGUUAGGUGAAUUUGUAGCUGACCAAACCCAAAGAGUACUCAUUAAUGGUUCCUUGUCAUCCUGGAAAAAAAUGACAAGUGGGGUGCCAUAGGGUUCUGUCCUGGGCCUGUUGUUCUUCAACAUCUUUAUAAAUGACUUGGAUGAAGGAAUUGAUCAACUCUGCAGAUGACACCAAUCUGGGAGGGGUGGCUAAUGCUGCAGAAGACAGAAUCAGAAUUCAAAAUGACCUUAACAGAUUAGAGAACUGGGCUCAGGCUAACAAAAUGAAUUUCAGUAGGGGCAAAUGUAAGGUUCUGCACUUAGGCAGGAAGAACCAGAUGCAUAAAUACAGUGGUACCUCGGGUUAAAAACUUAAUUCGUUCUGGAGGUCUGUUCUUAACCUGAAACUGUUCUUAACCUGAGGUACCACUUUAGCUAAUGGGGCCUCCCACUGCCGCCACUGUGCAAUUUCUGUACUCAUCCUGAAGCAAAGUUCUUAACCCGAGGUACUAUUUCUGGGUUAGCAGAGUCUGUAACCUGAAGCGUCUGUAACCUGAAGCUUCUGUAACCCGAGAUACCACUAUAUAAGAUGAGGAACACCUGGCUUACUAGCAGUAUAUGUGAAAGAGAUCUAGGGGUCUUGGUGGACCACAAAGAUUAACCUGAGUGAACAGUGCUAUUCAGCAGCAAAAAACAGCUAAUACUAUUCUAGGCUGCAUCAACAGAAGUCUAGUGUUAAGAUCCCACUCUUCUGCCUUGGUCAGACCACACCUGGAAUACUGUGUACUAUUCUGGGCACCACAAUAUAAGGAUAUUGACAGAGGGCAACCAAGAUGAUCAUUGGUCUAGAAACCAAGCCUUUUGAGGAACGGUAGAAGGAGCUGGGCAUGUUUAGCCUGGAAAAGAAGAGACUGGGAGGAGAUAUGACAGCCAUCUUCAAAUACCUCAAGGGCUAUCACAUGGAAGAUGGAGCAAAUUUGUUUUCUCCUGCUCUGGCAGGCAGGACUCGAACCAAUAGCUUCAAGUUACAGGAAAAAAGAUUCCGAUUAAACAUCAGGAAAAACCUUCUGACAGUAGGAGCUGUUCAACAGUGGAAUGGUCUCCCAUGGAAGGUUGUGAACUCUCUUUCCUUGGAGGUUUUUAAGCAGAGGUUGGAGGGCCAUCUGUCAUGGAUGCUUUAGCAGAGAUUCUUGCAUUGCAGGAGGGUGGACUAAAUGACUCUUGGGGUCCCUUCCAACUCUGUAAUCCUAUGAUUCUAUUUUAUAUUUUAAGGUGUUCAAAGGACAGAGGCAGGUCCAUUUCCUCUCUUUUGUCCAUUUUAAUACCACCUGACAUUGUGCAAAGUUUACUUUGUUCGUUAGGACCUGAGAUCUUGCAAAGCUUAUCUUUUGGGUUUUACAGUGUCAUCCUCGAUGGGGGUUGGACUCGAUGGCCGUUGUGGUCUCUUCCAACUCUAUGAUUCUGUGAUCCUUCACAGAAGGAAGAAAUCCACCUGGAUCCUUCCCAGGUGAAGUUGUAUGGGACUGCAGCCUUAAUCACCAGUGCCUUAUAAUGCAAUCCUAACCAUGGUUACUCAGAAGAAAGAACAGGGAACCAACCCUUUCUCAAACCACUUUCAACUUUCUUUCAAUAACAAACUAUGGUCUAUCUUCAUCCACAGAUAAAAACAUCUCACUUUAUCCAUCGAUGGCAAGAC